GGGGGGUACCAGAGUUUGAGAACUUCAGUAUGGGGAGGAAUUAGCCAGAGAGGAAGGGAGAGGAAUAUUCCUCUAAUGGAACACACACAGCACAAUCACAGAAGAGGCUGAGAGUGUUUACGAACCUGCAAGUGAUUUCUUGUACCUGGAGGGUCCUCUGUGUGUUUCAAGGGAUGAGACAAGAUACACCGGUGGGGCCAGGUGGUUCCUAGAAUGGUGAUGCCAAGUACAGGAAGUAGAAGAGAGUCCAAAGCUGCUUUGGGAAGCCUUCCUUUAACUCAUGCUAUGAGAAGUUGGGUGGCCUAGGUUCAGAACCAGGGUGCGUCUCUAAUGCUGUGCAAACUCGGGUGAAUCCUCUCUGGCCUGUGAGCAUCUUGAGGGCAAAAAUUAUCUCAUUUAUUCCAGAAUUCACAGAUUCAAGCAAGGACCUGUCACAUAAGAAAUGCUCGAAGUAACUAAGCUGAAGCUGAUGUUUACCGUCCCGGGCAUGUGUCAUCUUCUAUUUAUGCAUGCAAAACCUGCAAGUCUAUUGUUACAUAUAUUUCAAAAGUUUAUAUAAAUGGUAUAAUACUGUACACAUUUCUUUGCCAUUUAUUUUUUCAUUCCAUAUUUAUGUUCUGGAGAUUUACCAUAUUGGGAACAUGUUGAUCUAGUUUGUUCAUUUUAACUGUGAUAGAUGAUUUCAUUGUGUUUAUAAAGCAGCUUAUUUUCCUGUUCUCUUGCUGAGAGGCAGUUAGACUGCUCCUCACUUUUCUAUCACAUACUAAGAUGUGGUGAAUAUCCUUGACCACAUAUCCUUUUGCACAUGAAUAUGAGUUUCUCCAGGGCUUCCCAAGUGGUGCUAGUGGUAAAGAACCCACCUGCCAAUGGAAGAGACAUAGAUUCAGGUUCGACCCCUGGGUUGGGAAGAUCCCCUGGAGGAGGGCAUGGCAACCCACUCCAGUAUUCUUGUCUGGAGGAUCCCAUGGACAGAAGAGCCACAGUCCAUAGGGUCGCAAAGAGUCAGACACAACUGAAGUGACUUGGCAUGCACACACACCUGAGUUUCUCUAGGAUGCAUGGAAAACACUCUGGGUUCUGCACCCAGAUUCUAUGACCUGCAGGUGCAACUCAUCCCCCAGCUGCUGUGAGUGCUGGCUGCUAGGGAUUCACAGCUGCUCACAGCUUCUUGGGAACUUCUUUAUUCAGGAAGUUAUAAGUUACCCACCACCUUGCCCCCUACAUUGGGCAGCCCACAGUCAAUGACUGAUGGAUACAGCCAAUGACUGAUGGAUAAGUCUUAUCCGUCAAUGACUGAUGGAUAAGCCAAUGACUGGUGCAAAAGCCUGGCCUCUUUGCCUCAAGGCAGAUUCACUCUGCAACGUUACUAAUGCUUCAGAGCUCCCCAUGGGGUCAGAUUGAAGAUAAUCUCCAGCUGAGAACCUACCAUCACUUAACAUUUCUUCCUAUCCUAUCUGCCUGACCCUCUCUCUCCACCUGAGAGUCCUCCCUCUAGAAACCACCUGCACAAGGAUCUCGGGCACUGCUUAGGGGACCUAACUUCAGACAGGCACACACCUAACCUAAGGCAGAGCCACUGUGUCUCAGAUUUGCUCAUCUUAAAACGGUUUCCAAAUUGUUCUCCAAAGUAGUUGUACCAAUUUACGUUCCCACCAGCAGUUUACAAACAUUGCUGACCGCCCCCACCCACCACACUCAUCUAUUCCAGUGUUAUAGACUAAUUUUGCCAAUCAGAUUGUGUAAUAUGCUAAUUUUUGUUUUAAUUUGCAUUUCCGUGCUCACUAGUGAUAUUGAGAAUCUUGUUACUAUCUUUAUUGGCGUUCAAAUUUCUUCCCCUGUUAUUUGUCUGUUCACAUCUUUUGUCCAUUUGCUUACUGCUUUGGAAUGUCUAUGGUAAAUUGAUUCUUUGAGGCUUAAAUUUUUUAUUUUGGAGACUAAUUCUCUCUUGGCUGGUUAUCCAAGUUGAAAAUACCUUCUGCCAGCUGUGGCUUUAACAAAUUUGCUUAUUUUUUUGUCAUGUAGACAUUUUUGACUUUAAGGAAAUAAGAUUUAUCAUUUCCUUUCAUUUGUGUUUGUGUCUUAUUUAUUUUCUACUCUGAGAUC
This is a long non-coding RNA of Bos taurus (domestic cattle), 2103 nucleotides long. Lineage: Eukaryota; Metazoa; Chordata; Mammalia; Artiodactyla; Bovidae. The record is from Ensembl.